UUAUGAAAGGGAGAUGAUGGGUUACACCCUAUAUAAAGAUACCAAUUUUAACAUUAAAAGCUAAAUGAAGGUGGACUUGGACGUAAUUAUAAUCCAAUGUUAUAACGAAAACGAAUCUAAGACAUGUACACAUCGCCCGUCACUCUCGCCUAAAGGCGAGAUAAGUCGUAACAAAGUAGGUGUAACGGAAGUUGCACCUGU
RNAcentral lists this ribosomal RNA (201 nucleotides) under Bimastos rubidus. RNAcentral describes it as "partial 12S ribosomal RNA". It matches the Rfam family "Bacterial small subunit ribosomal RNA", at positions 1255 to 1520 of the family's 1533-position model. Lineage: Eukaryota; Metazoa; Annelida; Clitellata; Crassiclitellata; Lumbricidae. The record is from RNAcentral.